CGGCCACCGUCGUGGGGCUUGUCUUUUCNAUAUCCCUCGGAUGCUUUGUUCUUGCGGCGGAGGGACGAUGCUUUGUCGGUGCUUGUGUGGGUACCCAUCUUGUGGAACGGCUUUUUGCCUUCGACGGGUUGUUUUCUCCCCUCUAUUGCGAUAGAUUCUGUGGGCUUUUGAAAUGCUGGCUUUAUCCUCGAGCGCACACCGGGGGAAUGCUCGUGUGCUGCUCGCUCGGUUAUUGUCGUCUCUCGUGGAUGCUGUGGCUAUGUGGGAUUCCGCGGUCCUGUUGGUCCGCAAGUUUCUGUUGAUUUCCCCUCGCACGCAAAGAUUGCUCCCCUCCCCUCGCUCUUGCGGAACGACUUUGGCUUUGUCACGGGCGGAGCGGUGGGAUGCUGAUGGGGUUUGCGGGGGCAGCGCUUUUGUGCGAUUGCGUUAUGAUUUAUUAUUA
RNAcentral lists this unclassified non-coding RNA (442 nucleotides) under Scleria depauperata. Its description in RNAcentral is "partial external transcribed spacer 1". The record is from RNAcentral. Lineage: Eukaryota; Viridiplantae; Streptophyta; Magnoliopsida; Poales; Cyperaceae.